CCCCUCCAGAUUCCUUAGCCCUCAAAUCUAAACAGUGGUCUGAGUGGCUUAAAGAUAAAAAGGAGGAAAAGUACAACUGAAAUGGACUUGUAUUACAGUCUUUAGUGACAAAUAAGUUCAUUUCAAACAAUA
This 132-nucleotide small nucleolar RNA is filed under the name Echinops telfairi (small Madagascar hedgehog). RNAcentral's name for it is "Small nucleolar RNA SNORA61 (ENSETEG00000025531.1)". The record is from RNAcentral. Lineage: Eukaryota; Metazoa; Chordata; Mammalia; Afrosoricida; Tenrecidae.